RNAcentral lists this ribosomal RNA (253 nucleotides) under uncultured bacterium. RNAcentral describes it as "partial 16S ribosomal RNA". It matches the Rfam family "Bacterial small subunit ribosomal RNA", at positions 524 to 776 of the family's 1533-position model. The record is from RNAcentral.
UACAGAGGGUGCAAGCGUUGUUCGGAAUUACUGGGCGUAAAGCGCACGUAGGCGGCUUUGUAAGUUAGAGGUGAAAGCCUGGAGCUCAACUCCAGAAUUGCCUUUAAGACUGCAUCGCUUGAAUCGCGGAGAGGUGAGUGGAAUUCCGAGUGUAGAGGUGAAAUUCGUAGAUAUUCGGAAGAACACCAGUGGCGAAGGCGGCUCACUGGACGCGUAUUGACGCUGAGGUGCGAAAGCGUGGGGAGCAAACAGG